Molecule: small RNA, 27 nt
Filed under: Bombyx mori (domestic silkworm)
Lineage: Eukaryota; Metazoa; Arthropoda; Insecta; Lepidoptera; Bombycidae
Description: ovarian small RNA-774
Source: RNAcentral
UUUACCUAUAAAAGCCUACGUGAUGAC